GGCCAGACUCGGAGGAGAAAGAGACCCUGAACUACAUCAACGGCUCUCUCAAGGGCAAUGAACAGGACGAGGCCAAGAAACUUAAGUUCUUGGAUUGCGUCAGCACCUUCAGCAGAGCCGUCCUCACUAGGAGCCCAGAGAGAAACCUGGCUGCUUUUCUCAGCAAAGCCCUCCUUGUGGAGAAGAUAAAACAAAGUGAAGCCACCGCUGUGGGGAAUGGAACAAUCCAACCUGCUCGCCACCUGCUUCUCCAGCAUCUUCUCCCUGCCUCC
Molecule: long non-coding RNA, 272 nt
Organism: Chelonia mydas (Green sea turtle)
Lineage: Eukaryota; Metazoa; Chordata; Testudines; Cheloniidae
Exons: 3
Source: RefSeq, a predicted model, not a curated record